Molecule: long non-coding RNA, 421 nt
Organism: Stegodyphus dumicola
Lineage: Eukaryota; Metazoa; Arthropoda; Arachnida; Araneae; Eresidae
Source: RefSeq, a predicted model, not a curated record
GUUUUUUAUAAGUUUCCAAUACAUGGAGUUCUUCAAUGUGCGGACAGAGAAUUUGAAGCUAUUCUAUUUAUAGGUUAACAAGCUUUGGAACAUGCUCAGUACUAUCAGCUGAAUGACUCACUCGAUGCCAGAUCUUCAUGUUCUGAAGGACGAUCACCAUGAAACGUCAGGGCGUUGUUCUGGACAGUUACCGGAUUCGGACAACACCCGAAUAGUGUGUGUAAGCUGCCCACGUAUCCGGAUCCUGCUCUCGAUUGUCAGUUAUACCACCUCAAUGGCCUUUCAGAAAAAUGAUUGGAUUUGGCGAUUGGGACCCCUAAAAACCCCAGUCGCCCUUUAAAUGGGGGAGUAUAUAAGGUAUUUCUCCUGCUUUCCUAGCGUGCCUUCGUGGUGUAGUGGUCAGCUCAAUGAGCCGGUAUUU